ACCGUCCUUGCUGGUUUGGGAAGAUUCAACAACGUAGUUGGAACUUUGUCCACUGCUCCAAUUAAUCAUAUUGAUCUCUUCUUCUUUGUUUUGAGGAAGAGGGUUAUCUUGCACAUGAGGUUGGUCGGGUUUAGUUACCACAAUCACCCCAUUGUCGAUCAAAUCCUUGAUCUUGUGUUUCAAGGCCCAGCAAUCCUAAGUGUCAUGUCCUG
This 212-nucleotide long non-coding RNA is filed under the name Panax ginseng (ginseng). RNAcentral describes it as "long non-coding RNA (PGIN_LNC014418)". Lineage: Eukaryota; Viridiplantae; Streptophyta; Magnoliopsida; Apiales; Araliaceae. The record is from RNAcentral.